AGCGAACGCUGGCGGCAGGCUUAACACAUGCAAGUCGAGCGGGCGUAGCAAUACGUCAGCGGCAGACGGGUGAGUAACGCGUGGGAACAUACCUCUUGGUUCGGAACAACACAGGGAAACUUGUGCUAAUACCGGAUAAGCCCUUACGGGGAAAGAUUUAUCGCCGAGAGAUUGGCCCGCGUCUGAUUAGCUAGUUGGUGAGGUAACGGCUCACCAAGGCGACGAUCAGAGCUGGUCUGAGAGGAUGAUCAGCCACAUUGGGACUGAGACACGGCCCAAACUCCUACGGGAGGCAGCAGUGGGGAAUAUGGACAAUGGGCGCAAGCCUGAUCCAGCCAUGCCGCGUGAGUGAUGAAGGCCCUAGGGUUGUAAAGCUCUUUUGUGCGGGAAGAUAAUGACGGUACCGCAAGAAUAAGCCCCGCUAACUUCGUGCCAGCCGCCGCUGUAAG
RNAcentral lists this ribosomal RNA (449 nucleotides) under uncultured bacterium. RNAcentral's name for it is "bacterial SSU rRNA". It matches the Rfam family "Bacterial small subunit ribosomal RNA", at positions 29 to 524 of the family's 1533-position model. The record is from RNAcentral.